This 485-nucleotide ribosomal RNA is filed under the name Enterococcus avium. Its description in RNAcentral is "bacterial SSU rRNA". It matches the Rfam family "Bacterial small subunit ribosomal RNA", at positions 1 to 464 of the family's 1533-position model. Lineage: Bacteria; Bacillati; Bacillota; Bacilli; Lactobacillales; Enterococcaceae. The record is from RNAcentral.
UUUUAUGAGAGUUUGAUCCUGGCUCAGGACGAACGCUGGCGGCGUGCCUAAUACAUGCAAGUCGAACGCUUUUUCUUUCACCGGAGCUUGCUCCACCGAAAGAAAAGGAGUGGCGAACGGGUGAGUAACACGUGGGUAACCUGCCCAUCAGAAGGGGAUAACACUUGGAAACAGGUGCUAAUACCGUAUAACAAUCGAAACCGCAUGGUUUCGGUUUGAAAGGCGCUUUUGCGUCACUGAUGGAUGGACCCGCGGUGCAUUAGCUAGUUGGUGAGGUAACGGCUCACCAAGGCAACGAUGCAUAGCCGACCUGAGAGGGUGAUCGGCCACAUUGGGACUGAGACACGGCCCAAACUCCUACGGGAGGCAGCAGUAGGGAAUCUUCGGCAAUGGACGCAAGUCUGACCGAGCAACGCCGCGUGAGUGAAGAAGGUUUUCGGAUCGUAAAACUCUGUUGUUAGAGAAGAACAAGGAUGAGAGUAGAA